This 1439-nucleotide long non-coding RNA is filed under the name Nicotiana benthamiana. RNAcentral's name for it is "long non-coding RNA (NBEN_LNC016596)". The record is from RNAcentral. Lineage: Eukaryota; Viridiplantae; Streptophyta; Magnoliopsida; Solanales; Solanaceae.
AUUCAUACAGUCAAACUGAUGCAACAGGUCAGAAAUAUAUUUAUGCUGAUUGAGGAGCAUCCCACCAGGAACUACAGACAUCUCAAUGCUCAGAAAAUAAUGCAAAGACCCAAGGUCUUUGAUCUUGAACUGAUCAUCCAAAAACAUCUUCAGGGCAGAUAGCUCAUCAUUGUCAUCCCCAGUGAUGAUAAUAUCAUCCACAUAGACUGCUACAAUAACAAAACAGCCAGCCUGUCCUUUGAUAAAUAGAGAAUAAUCAUUCAUGGAAUGACUAUAGCCUCUGGAAUAAAGGGCAGAGGACAACUUGGCAUACCACUGUCUGGAUGCCUGCCUCAACCCAUAUAGGGAUUUUUUCAAUUUACAUACAAGAGGAGGAUAUGGAGAAGAGACAGAGUCAGAAGAAGAUACAGAGACAGAUAAACCUGGGGGAAGCUUCAUAUAAACCUCCUCAUCCAAAUCACCAUGCAAGACUGCAUUGUUAACAUCAAGUUGAAAAAGUGGCCAAUGCUUCUUAACAGCCACUGCAAUAAGACACUUCACAGUGGACAUUUUAACCACAGGAGAAAAAGUAUCAGUAAAAUCCACCUCUUCAACUUGAGUAUCCACCUCUUCAACUUGAGUAAAAUCCACCACUGCAUUGCAACCAAUGGGUUCCUUACCAGAAGGAAGGGGAACAAUGUCCCAAGUGCAGUUAGCAUCCAAAGCAUCAAACUCCUUUCUCAUGGCAUCCUGCCAUACUGGAACUGAUGCAGCUUGAGAGUAGUAAAGGGGUUCAGUCUCAAACUCCUUUCUCAUGGCAUCCUGCCAUACUGGAACUGAUGCAGCUUGAGAGUAGUAAGGGGGUUCAGUCUCCAGAGGAGAAGAAGAAGACCCAGAGAAAGCAGGAAGGUUAAAAACAUAAUCCUUAAGAUAAGAAGGAGGAUUGUGCUGUCUUCCAGAUUUCCUGGGAACAUCAGUUGAUGUGGAAGAAGGAAAAGUAGGAGGGGAGAUGUCAGGGUUGAAAGGAGGAUUGGAAAUUGGAUUUGAAUGAGGAGAAUCUGGAACAGGAGGUGGACGUGGAGAGGAAGAGAGUGGAAUAGAGAAGUCUUGGUCAGAAGAGGAAUGUUCAAUGGGAGGAAUAGAAGGAAAAGAGGAAGGGAAAGCAGGAGGAACAGAGGUGACAGAAGAGGCAGAUUUGAAGGGAAAAGAAGUUUCAUGAAAGACAGAAUAGAAGGAAAAAAGGAAGGGAAAGCAGGAGGAACAGAGUGACAGAAGAGGCAGAUUUGAAAGGAAAAGAAGUUUCAUGAAAGACAGCAUCCCUGGAUACAAAACACUUUUUGGAACUAAGAUCAUAUAGUUUAUAACCCUUUUUAGCAAAAGGAUACACUAGGAAAACGCAAGAAAUGGCCCUAGGCUUUAACUUGUCCCUUUGAGGAAUGGGGACAGUAGCAUAGGCAAGG